AAGAGACAGCAGUAGCCGCGGGAAUACGAAGGGUGCAAGCGUUACUCGGAAUUACUGGGCGUAAAGCGUGCGUAGGUGGUGGUUUAAGUCCGUUGUGAAAGCCCUGGGCUCAACCUGGGAAUUGCAGUGGAUACUGGGUCACUAGAGUGUGGUAGAGGAUAGUGGAAUUUCCGGUGUAGCAGUGAAAUGCGUAGAGAUCGGAAGGAACAUCUGUGGCGAAGGCGACUAUCUGGGCCAACACUGACACUGAGGCACGAAAGCGUGGGGAGCAAACAGGAUUAGAUACCCGCGUAGUCCCUGUCUCUUAUAC
Molecule: ribosomal RNA, 310 nt
Filed under: uncultured bacterium
Lineage: Bacteria
Description: partial 16S ribosomal RNA
Rfam family: Bacterial small subunit ribosomal RNA
Source: RNAcentral